GAUAAACGCUGGCGGCGUGCAUAACACAUUCAAGUCGAACGGAGUUAAGUUGAUUAAUCCUUCGGGAAGCGUUGGCUUAACUUAGUGGCGGACGGGUGAGUAAUGCAUGAGUAACCUGCCUUUCAGAGUGGAAUAACGUUGGGAAACUGACGCUAAUACCGCAUACCACAUAGAGGUGGCAUCACUUUUAUGUGAAAGGAGCAAUCCGCUGAAAGAUGGGCUCAUGUCUGAUUAGAUAGUUGGUGAGGUAACGGCUCACCAAGUCUACGAUCGGUAGCCGGACUGAGAGGUUGAACGGCCACAUUGGAACUGAGAAACGGUCCAGACUCCUACGGGAGGCAGCAGUGGGGAAUAUUGGGCAAUGGGCGAAAGCCUGACCCAGCGACGCCGCGUGAAGGAAGAAGGUCUUCGGAUUGUAAACUUCUGUCAACAGGGACGAAGCAUGACGGUACCUGAUGAGGAAGCCACGGCUAACUACGUG
Molecule: ribosomal RNA, 481 nt
Filed under: uncultured bacterium
Lineage: Bacteria
Description: bacterial SSU rRNA
Rfam family: Bacterial small subunit ribosomal RNA
Source: RNAcentral